RNAcentral lists this ribosomal RNA (517 nucleotides) under uncultured bacterium. RNAcentral's name for it is "SSU rRNA". It matches the Rfam family "Bacterial small subunit ribosomal RNA", at positions 26 to 530 of the family's 1533-position model. The record is from RNAcentral.
AGGACGAACGCUGGCGGCGUGCCUAACACAUGCAAGUGGAGCGACGAACCAGGCUUCGGCCUGGGGCAGAGCCGCGAACGGGUGAGUAACACGUGGGUAACCUGCCCUGAUGAUUGGGACAACCCGAGGAAACUCGGGCUAAUACCGAAUGUGCCCUCCGGCCUCAAGGCCGUUGGGGAAAGGAAGCUUCGGCCUCCGCAUCGGGAUGGGCCCGCGGCCCAUUAGCUUGUUGGUGAGGUAACGGCUCACCAAGGCAACGAUGGGUAGCUGGUCUGAGAGGACGAUCAGCCACACUGGGACUGAGACACGGCCCAGACUCCUACGGGAGGCAGCAGUGGGGAAUCUUGCGCAAUGCGCGAAAGCGUGACGCAGCAACGCCGCGUGGGGGAAGAAGGCUUUCGGGUUGUAAACCCCUUUCAGUUGGGACGAAGCUUCUCCGGUGAAUAGCCGGACGGAGUGACGGUACCUUCACAAGAAGCACCGGCUAACUACGUGCCAGCAGCCGCGGUAAUCGUGA